Molecule: ribosomal RNA, 253 nt
Filed under: uncultured bacterium
Lineage: Bacteria
Description: partial 16S ribosomal RNA
Rfam family: Bacterial small subunit ribosomal RNA
Source: RNAcentral
UACGUAGGGUGCGAGCGUUAAUCGGAAUUACUGGGCGUAAAGCGUGCGUAGGUGGUUUGUUAAGUCUGCUGUGAAAGCCCCGGGCUCAACCUGGGAAUGGCAGUGGAUACUGGCAAGCUAGAGUGCGGUAGAGGGUAGUGGAAUUCCCGGUGUAGCGGUGAAAUGCGUAGAGAUCGGGAAGAACACCAGUGGCGAAGGCGGCUACCUGGACCAGCACUGACACUGAGGCACGAAAGCGUGGGGAGCAAACAGG